CCUACGGGAGGCAGCAGUGAGGAAUAUUGCACAAUGGGCGCAAGCCUGAUGCAGCGACGCCGCGUGGGUGAAGAAGGUUUUCGGAUCGUAAAGCCCUUUUCUUGGUGACGAGGAAGGACGGUAGCCAAGGAAUAAGUGUCGGCUAACUACGUGCCAGCAGCCGCGGUAAAACGUAGGACGCAAGCGUUAUCCGGAAUUACUGGGCGUAAAGCGCGCGCAGGCGGGUCAACAAGUCAUGCGUGAAAGCUCCUGGCUAAACUGGGAGAGGUCGGAUGAAACUGUUGGUCUUGAGUGUGGCAGAGGCGUGUGGAAUUCCGCGUGUAGUGGUGAAAUGCGUAGAGAUGCGGAGGAACACCAGAGGCGAAGGCGGCACGCUGGGCCACAACUGACGCUGAGGCGCGAAAGCAUGGGUAGCGAACGGGAUUAGAUACCCUUGUAG
This 439-nucleotide ribosomal RNA is filed under the name uncultured bacterium. Its description in RNAcentral is "bacterial SSU rRNA". It matches the Rfam family "Bacterial small subunit ribosomal RNA", at positions 338 to 793 of the family's 1533-position model. The record is from RNAcentral.